RNAcentral lists this ribosomal RNA (468 nucleotides) under uncultured bacterium. Its description in RNAcentral is "partial 16S ribosomal RNA". It matches the Rfam family "Bacterial small subunit ribosomal RNA", at positions 28 to 507 of the family's 1533-position model. The record is from RNAcentral.
GACGAACGCUGGCGGCGUGCUUAACACAUGCAAGUCGAACGGAAAGGCCCUGCUUUUGUGGGGUGCUCGAGUGGCGAACGGGUGAGUAACACGUGAGUAACCUGCCCUUGACUUUGGGAUAACUUCAGGAAACUGGGGCUAAUACCGGAUAGGAGCUCCUGCUGCAUGGUGGGGGUUGGAAAGUUUCGGCGGUUGGGGAUGGACUCGCGGCUUAUCAGCUUGUUGGUGGGGUAGUGGCUUACCAAGGCUUUGACGGGUAGCCGGCCUGAGAGGGUGACCGGCCACAUUGGGCCUGAGCUACGGCCCAGACCCCUACGGGAGGCAGCAGUGGGGAAUAUUGCACAAUGGGCGGAAGCCUGAUGCAGCAACGCCGCGUGCGGGAUGACGGCCUUCGGGUUGUAAACCGCUUUCGCCUGUGACGAAGCGUGAGUGACGGUAAUGGGUAAAGAAGCACCGGCUAACUACGUG